UACGUAGGGUGCGAGCGUUGUCCGGAAUUAUUGGGCGUAAAGAGCUCGUAGGCGGUGUGUCGCGUCGGCCGUGAAAACCUGCAGCUUAACUGUGGGCGUGCGGUCGAUACGGGCAUCACUGGAGUUCGGCAGGGGAGACUGGAAUUCAUGGUGUAGCAGUGAAAUGCGUAGAGAUCAUGAGGAAGACCAGUGGCGAAGGCGGGUCUCUGGACAGUUCCUGACGCUGAGGCACGAAGGCCAGGGGAGCAAACGGG
This 254-nucleotide ribosomal RNA is filed under the name uncultured prokaryote. Its description in RNAcentral is "partial 16S ribosomal RNA". It matches the Rfam family "Bacterial small subunit ribosomal RNA", at positions 524 to 776 of the family's 1533-position model. The record is from RNAcentral.